RNAcentral lists this transfer RNA (72 nucleotides) under Podarcis lilfordi (Lilford's wall lizard). RNAcentral describes it as "tRNA.Lys". The stretch from base 8 to 67 matches the Rfam family "tRNA", at positions 7 to 64 of the family's 71-position model. From Rfam's summary of the family: Transfer RNA (tRNA) molecules are approximately 80 nucleotides in length. Their secondary structure includes four short double-helical elements and three loops (D, anti-codon, and T loops). Lineage: Eukaryota; Metazoa; Chordata; Lepidosauria; Squamata; Lacertidae. The record is from RNAcentral.
ACGAGGGAUAGCUCAAUUGGUAGAGCAUGAGACUCUUAAUCUAAGGGUUGUGGGUUUGAGCCCCACUUUGGG